Molecule: long non-coding RNA, 2591 nt
Organism: Panthera uncia (snow leopard)
Lineage: Eukaryota; Metazoa; Chordata; Mammalia; Carnivora; Felidae
Exons: 4
Source: RefSeq, a predicted model, not a curated record
GGUGAGGGGGGAGGGGGGCCCUCCUUAACAAAAUGACAUCACAAAGGAAGUGAGGGGAUUACAGGAAGGAUAUUCCAGACAGAAGGCUCAGCAAGUACAAAGGUCCUGCGGCGGGAGGGUGCUUGACAGUCACAGAAAGGCAAGGCCAAUGUGGCUAAGAGGCGGUGCAGUACAAAGGGUACUAAGGGGCCAAACCACACAGGGCUUUGUGGGUCACUGCAAGGAUGUGGCUUAUAUUUACAGAGACAGGGGAAGUCAUCAGAGGGCUGGUACAGAGGGGGUGACAGGGAAACCAUUAGAAGCCCAACACCAGCCUGCAGGGAAGAAAUGGUAACCCCACCUACGGUGGCAGCAGUGGUGGGGGUGAGAUGCAGCCCAUUUGGGGUAUAGUUUGAAGGGAGAGCCAGAAGGAUUCGUUAAUGGUUUGGAUGUUGCUUGUGUAAGAAACAAGGGCGCUGAGAAGGAUACUAAGAUUUUUACUUUUUACGUUUACUGAGACAAGAGCAGCCCCCAUUAGGCAGCAUGGUGAAUGUGAAGUUGGGUUUUGGACGGUUUACGCAGAUGCCUUUUAGACACUGCCACGGAGACAGAGACAAUCUAGAGCUCCAGGGAGCCGUCUGGCCUUGAGAUAAGGAUGCGGGCGCCCAAAGUGGGCAGUAGAGGCAGGACUCUGAGGGAGUGAAUGCCACUUAGAGAGGAGGUCUGAGGGCUGGGUCCUGGGCACACGGAGUUUGUGCGCUUUUCUGUAGUUUACAUUUCACAGUAAGAUUAAAUGCACAUGUGUAAGCGAGAAUGAGCAUUUUUUCCUUUUGUUAUAGAUCUAAAAAAACACACACCCACAAUCACACUUUGGAGGCCAGAGCAGCGACCAGCCAGCACCCUUAACUUCCCAGCGCGCUUGGAAACCAGGAUCAGAGGAGACCCUGCACUUGCAGGUGCAGGGGCCUGAGGAGUGGGUGGAAUCGGGACAUUUAUUAAGCCUCUACCAAAUACGAGAAAUUUCACAGGACAGCUAACUAACUUUCAUUUCAUACCCCGAUGCCCCUCCCCUGCCAGUAAAACCGCUAGAAGACAGGCAUCACUGGGUCAUUUCACAGCCAUAGAAAGGAAGUGAGAGGUAAGGCGAUGGGUCCAAUAUGACCCAGCUGGUGACAGCAGCACCUGUGACAUCUGGCCUCACUACUGCCUGAGCGCAAAUACUCUGGACAUUAUCUCAAGCGUGGGGGAGGUGUGAAAGGAAGACUGCACAGGUGGAAGUCCAGGAAGAAGCCCUUCUGGUGAAGAGCUGCCCUAGGUCCACAGCCCCCACCUCACCAUUUGGGAUUCCCUCUGCAGCCGGAAGCUGGUACGCGGGGUCCUGCGUGGCCCUCGAGGCCGCCUACAGGAUGGACAAGGUAAUGGUCAAGCUAAGCCACAGGUCCAUGGGGAAAGGGGGCCAGACUGGUUCCAAAGGUGCGGGCUGAUGUGCCGGAACAGGCAGCUAGCUGGCCAGGAACCAAACCUGGGCUGUAGAGAUCCUGUCCAGCGCCUUCCGGGGGACAGGCAGCUUUCCGUGCAGCGAGCAUGCUUGGAAGGAAAGGGCUCUACUGAACACGGACACGUGGCGCCACAUCCGACGGGCUCCUCAAUACCCACGAGCUCCUAGUCAGGUAGGCACCCCUACUUUAAAGAAAGGGAGGUGACCUGCCCAACAUCCCGUAGCUAGUGAGCACCAGCUCUCCUCCCCGUCUUCCCACCGCCUCCUACUGGCAAACUACGGCAGGCAGCCCCGUCCUGCUGCCGUCACACCGGCCCGCGGCUCAGAUGGGGACUUACGUGAGGCUCGGGAACUGAGCGUGUCAACCCCUGCUCCGGGACGGCCAGUCUCAGCACGUCGAACCCCGCGGCAGCCUCGGACUCCUCCGCCCUAAGGCUCUGCAGGGCUUCCAGCUCGCUCUGAAGCUGGUGCAUUUGCAACAGGGCAGAGUCGUGACCUAGGCCGGGCAGAGGGGAGCACCAGUGACUCCUGCUGCUUCAGGACCGGGCCACUUCAGGGCAGGGGUACUGGGUGGGAGCAGGUGAGAGGGCUCGGCAGGGGCGGACUCCUCACCUUUCUUCAGUUGGAAAAUUUCCUGCUCUUUCUGGAGAAUCACUUCAGCUUUUUCCUGCAGACUCUGCUCCUUCUCAUCUACUACAGCUGUGAGGUUAGCAGCCUGGACAGAAAAGCCAACUCUUUGCAGAUGCAACUGAGACUGGAAUUUAUGUUAAGGACUCACCGAAGGCCUAGAGUCCAUUCCCUACAAGGUCUGGGGCCCGAUGCUGAGUCUGUCUUGAAAGGAAGCUUUGCCCACCCUUCUCGCUGAGGGCUCAGCUGUACUGCGUCCUCCGGGGCCUGUGGGCAGCGAUGCCCCUCACAGAGUCAGAGCCCAGGAGGCACCUGGAUGCGGGCUUUUCCCCAGAGACCUCAGGGUCAUCAGUCACACAGUUCCUGGCAUUCCUGACACCUGUGUCCACCCCCUGGAGGAGGACACACGGGGAGGCAGGCUGGUCCUGCCCGAGGCUGGAACAUACCACCCUUUGGCCCGUGCCUCAGGGUCAAACGGGGCCUACCU